CCCAACUUAAAAAAAAAAAAAAAAAAAAAAAAAAAACAAAAUCUGAAGAUGAAGAAAGACACAUCACAUUCAACCUGAGCUCCUGUUCUCACAAUAUUCCCCACUUUCCAGAAUGAUCUCCUGAAGUAGAUUAAUUUUAGAAAUUUUGACAAAUAAUUUCCUCUCUCUCAUUUUUUCUUUUAAAUACUAAAAUUCUCUCUUUAUUAUCACUGAUAUGUUUGCAAGAACCGACUUUGUUGAAAUGGCAAGAAUUAAAAUAAUAAAAAGACAAAAAUAUAAGAGGAAAAAAAGAUAUGUUUAUUGUCAAAAUGGUAUAUUUGGUUUCUUCCAGCAGCAUGAGUCGGAGAGGGUGUUGGCCGAUCACCUCCAAGUCUCUCGCUGUGGUGAGUUUGACCUGAUGAUUCUGUGUCAUCUGGAUGGUGUGAACUGAUAUUCAAAGAACUUAUUUUAUUUAUUAACUUCUUACAUUUCUAUCAGCUUCUUAUUUGCUUCAAUUUAUCAUCACAAUAUAUUUUACUAUUCAUGUCCAU
Molecule: long non-coding RNA, 530 nt
Filed under: Androctonus crassicauda
Lineage: Eukaryota; Metazoa; Arthropoda; Arachnida; Scorpiones; Buthidae
Source: RNAcentral